RNAcentral lists this unclassified non-coding RNA (460 nucleotides) under Drosophila pseudoobscura pseudoobscura. Its description in RNAcentral is "GA32674". The record is from RNAcentral. Lineage: Eukaryota; Metazoa; Arthropoda; Insecta; Diptera; Drosophilidae.
AUCGUACACAAGUGCAUACGUGGUGCUUUUGGCAUCGUUUGUUCCUCAUUCCUAAUUUUUCCCUACUCCAUGAAUGCACUCAACAAGUCAUGCCUUCCGUUAGAAAACUUUUGCCUGGAACUGUACAGCCCCCAAGGAUUAAGGAUAUGCUGGAUAAUAUUCAAAGACUGCACCUAGUCCUUGGAGUAGAGUCCUCGGCACUUCAAGGCCUACGGAGUCGGGACCGUGCUUAUCGGGACUUAUCGCAGACCCCCUUCAGACCAUUGUCGUGCCGUCGUGAUCCUUGGAAAAGUCAAGACCAGAAGCACUUUGAAGAUUUGUAGUUUCGAUUGUGAUAAGACUUUUGUGAAAUUUAAUGUACAAUCAGCGACCAAAAAAAAAUCCUCACACUUCCACAAAUGUUAUCCGAUUUGUUUAAUUUCUUUUUCUUCGUGUCAAUAAAUCAAUUUUUAACGAAAGU